This 445-nucleotide long non-coding RNA is filed under the name Hordeum vulgare. Its description in RNAcentral is "long non-coding RNA (HVUL_LNC000790)". Lineage: Eukaryota; Viridiplantae; Streptophyta; Magnoliopsida; Poales; Poaceae. The record is from RNAcentral.
UGUUGACGAGGCGUCGCUGCGGUAGGAGUUGGGCGCGGUAGUGAGACGGAGCAGUGCUGACAAGGUGGCGCGAGGUGUAGUUGACCAUGGCACGGCGACUCAGGGACGCAACCAGAGAGCGGACGGCUCCAUGGUCAACACCCAAUCCUUCGGUCAAAACUUGCCUCUUUGUUGUGUGUAUCCACCUUUAGUAGUCUAAUGAUUGGGUUUCUUCUCAUCGAGUGUAGGUGAAUUUGUGGUUGCUUGAAUCCUGUUGCAUGUGUUUGCCCACUAGUACGUCUUGGACAAACGUAUUUAUUGCGAGCCAUGUGCGGUAUGCCGUGUAGCUGUCCGAGUCCGCCACGAUUUGGAAACUUUUUGAAAGAACGUGGAUGUCGCCUAGAGGAGGGUAAAUACGCGCUUUAAAAUAAUUACGGUUUAGGCUUAAACAAAUGCGGAAUAAAAC